AAUAAAUGAAUUUUUAUGUUUUUUUAGAAUUUUUGACCCUUCGUCUUAUUUGAAAAUUCUUUUAUGAUUAAUGUUUUUAUGGUUACCUUAUGAUAAAACAUAAAUAGUACUUUACAUGUGACUAUUUUUUUAAUUUUUAAAUAAAUUUUUUAAAUAAGACGGAUGGUCAAACGCUUAACCUACGAAACCCAGAAAUCCUUUUUUU
This 205-nucleotide microRNA precursor is filed under the name Oryza brachyantha (malo sina). Its description in RNAcentral is "MIR812 microRNA precursor family". It matches the Rfam family "MIR812 microRNA precursor family". Lineage: Eukaryota; Viridiplantae; Streptophyta; Magnoliopsida; Poales; Poaceae. The record is from Rfam by way of RNAcentral.